GGACAUUGAAACUUAUAUAGGUGGUAUCCUGAUAGUCCUAGAGCUACAAAGUAGUAAGGCAGUGGUUCUCAAAGUGUAGCUCCUUGGACCAGCAGCAUCAGCGUCCACUGGAACUUGUUGGACAGGUCCCAUCAUGCUGGAAAUGCUGAGAUGCAAUUUUGAAGCUGGACAAGCCCUUGAAGAACACAUGGACAAUACAUUCAGUUGUGCAGGAUGGCUUGAAAUUCGUUACAUCUAGAAGAAACUCUGAGCAAGGUGGCAUCAACAAAAUUAAAUCAUCUGCUUGGAAGCCAGGGACCAGCUUAUUAGAUAAUGGACACUAACGUGUGCACAAUGGAUUGAGAGUCAAUUUAUAUUGUCAAGUGGCCAAGGAAUAUGUUAUUUGGGGAGAAUUUUUAAGAAUAUAUUUUUAAAAAUAUCUGAAAUAUCCCCAUUCUCCAACUGCAUGAAUCUGAUCUCUUGGGUCCUAAAAGGAACCUUGACUUAUAUUGAGGUAGAAGUUCCUCAAGGAGAUGAUUUUAGGUUCUACCUGCAGCUUCCUGGAGGUAAAG
Canis lupus familiaris (dog) is the source of this 551-nucleotide long non-coding RNA. RefSeq lists it as uncharacterized. The transcript has 4 exons. NCBI's taxonomy places the organism in Eukaryota, Metazoa, Chordata, Mammalia, Carnivora, Canidae. The record is from RefSeq and is a predicted model, not a curated record.